Molecule: non-coding RNA, 1356 nt
Organism: Cyanistes caeruleus (blue tit)
Lineage: Eukaryota; Metazoa; Chordata; Aves; Passeriformes; Paridae
Source: RefSeq, a predicted model, not a curated record
GGUUCUUUCUCUACCACGCACAGAAAGUGCUAGAGUUUUCUUCUUCUCCAUAGAUGACGAAUGCCUAAAGAGGUACGACACAACUUCUUCAGCCCCUUUUGUAUAUUUUUCCCUUUUAAACCCUUACUGGACUUGAGUAAGGAGGAAAAAAUGCUGCCUGGUUAUGAAUGCUCUGUAGUCAAAAUUUGCCAUCCUUUCUUGUGGUCAAAGUUGUGGUGGAUCCCAUGAGAGAGUCCUGGUAAAAAAUAAAGGCUGAGCAGCUUUCUGUCUUUCCUUUCUUUCAGAUAAUUGCCUCAUAGCUAUAGGAACUUUUAGAGCUUAGCAAAAAUAUAGUCACUAGACAGGUUACUGAGACAUUUAGGAUCCUUUCAGGUAGGUCUAUCACCUUUAACUUUUUCCUGUCUUUCUGGUGUUAAUCUGAGGAAUGCCGAGUGCUCUUGUCAGUGACAUAUGUGCGUGCGGUUCUUCAUCCUAAUGAAUCUGGGGCUUUCUCUUCUGAAGCCAGUGAAUUUUCGAUUUAAAAACAAAGACAACAACAACAAAAAAAACCAUACACAGCCCCCAAAAAUUACACAGGCCACCAAAACAAUUGCUUGUUCUAUUUUGUAGAAUAUAGUCUCAAGACAGGCUUAAAAGACGUUUGUUUCUUGAGACUUGCUAGAUAACGCGGAUGAAAUGUAUGGCUGUGUUCAUACAGUUACUGCCCUGCAAUCUUCCAGCCCGUCUGAUUUGCAGGGUGUGUCAGAAUGGAGAUCUCAGCCCCUGGCAGGCAGCGCUUCUGGGGCCAGCUGUGGGAUCCUGCUGCUGAGCAUUUAAUGCAAGAGCUGCUGUUUCACUGCAAUUUAGAUUGCAGCAUGUUCAGGGAGACAGCUGCUGCCUUUCAUUUUUCUUAGUACACCAGGCUGCAGUAGGGAACAUUUCUGCUGGAGCCAACAUGUGGUGGGGGAGAAGAGAAUAGGAGGGACGUGGAGGAUAGAGCUUCUGACUUUAUCGUGUUGUUCAUUCAUGAUUGUUGGGAGCAGCAGCCGAAUCAGAAGGGUUGAACCCUAUUGAUUGGUGUUGUGUUUUCUUUUGUGCACAGGGCCUAGAGUUAUUUUGUAGAUCUGUAGAGCUCAGUGAAGACAAAGUGGGUUGGGAAGACAUAUGUAGAUUUAUUGCUUGAGGAGCAGCUAGCUAGCUAGAUGUAAGGGAAGUGUUUAAGAGAAACAGUGACUUUAGAGACUUCUGCAAGUAGUGGAUUCAAAAACUUCUCCUAGGAAUAUGUUAGAUUUUCAUUAAUUUCUGGAUCGUCUAAGGAAGCAUAAGAAUUCCAUAGGGAAACUGAACCCAAACUAAUAAACCCUUUCUUGAAAAGAA